CAAGUUGCAAAAUUUAACAAGACCCUUUGCUAGGUUUGUAACACAAGGGUUGCAGGAAACACAACUCGAUUCUCCAUUACACCCUCUGAUCACCUUUGAGGACUCCACCCAGUUGUAAAGAAGCUCAUUUUUAACCCAAGAAAACGUCGUGAUGCCUUCCAUAGAAACUAUGGAAUCAGUUCCUCAGAUGAAAGGGAGGGAGGAGGAGGAAGAAAAGAAAACUGAGGACUGCCGUGAAUUUCUAGAGCAAGACACUGGGCUCCGAUGUCUUUAGGAUACUGAUUUGUUCCAUCCAUGAAGACAGCGUCCCUGUUCAGAUCUCUUAAUAUCCUUUUAAUAAAGUUUUACAAUGCUCUCCA
Ictidomys tridecemlineatus (thirteen-lined ground squirrel) is the source of this 359-nucleotide non-coding RNA. Lineage: Eukaryota; Metazoa; Chordata; Mammalia; Rodentia; Sciuridae. The record is from RefSeq and is a predicted model, not a curated record.